RNAcentral lists this long non-coding RNA (736 nucleotides) under Oryza sativa Indica Group (long-grained rice). Its description in RNAcentral is "lncRNA OsMH63_04G010240". Lineage: Eukaryota; Viridiplantae; Streptophyta; Magnoliopsida; Poales; Poaceae. The record is from RNAcentral.
GAUCUCGGCGACGAGAAAGGGGACGGCUCGUCGCAGCCCCCACGGUGGCAGGUGGCAGGGGAGAACGGGGAGUUUUUGUCGGUGGAGCGACAUCGAUCUCGUCAGGAACGAAAUCUUAAGCUACUAUUCUGCAUGUCAUCUAUUUUCUUCCAUGACUUGUUAAGUAAAACAGACAUAUUAUUGUCUAAUGAUGUUCUGAGACAAGAAACUAACACUGCAGCUUUAAGUGUAGAGAAUGAGGCAAAGCAACUCUAUAUCACUAUAUGUGACUGCUCACAAGAUUGUAAAGAUGGACCCACAGGAGAAGAACUCACAGAGCACAUCAUUUGGUGCAAGGUUUGCAAGAAUAUAUUUAAGAUGACUGGGACACUACCACGCUGGGUUUCCAAUGGUAUCAAAGAUGAUGACAUGGUGCCGAAGCAAAAUAUGGUGUUCAAAGACAAUGACAGUGUAUAUGAUUUCUAUGAGAAAUAUGCUUACCAUGCUGGGUUUGACGUAAGGAAGAGCAGAACUAAGAAGACUAUAAGAGAAAUAUGUUGCUCCAGGGAGGGACAUCAUAAAUUUCAUAAAGGCGAUGAAUCUGAACGUGAGCGAAACCAUAGGACAAAGAAAACUGGUUGCAAGGCAUACAUGAAGGUGAAAAAUGUGAUGGUUGAUGGUGAGGUGUCGUCUGUUUGUACGAUGUUGUUGUGCUUGAGCAUAACCACCCACUCACACCCUCUCUAGCAUCGGUAAA